RNAcentral lists this ribosomal RNA (1100 nucleotides) under Pseudoglutamicibacter cumminsii. Its description in RNAcentral is "partial 16S ribosomal RNA". Lineage: Bacteria; Bacillati; Actinomycetota; Actinomycetes; Micrococcales; Micrococcaceae. The record is from RNAcentral.
AAWUGGGCGCAAGSCUKAAKGCAGCGACSGCSGSKKGAGGGAUGACGGCCUUCGGGUUGKUAAACCUYUUUCAGUAGGRAAGCAGCCCUUUAGGUGACGGUACCUGCAGAAGAAAGCGCCGGCUAACUACGUGCCAGCAGCCGCGKUAAUACGUAGGGCGCAARCGUUAUCCGGAAUUAUUGGGCGUAAAGAGCUCGUAGGGCGGUUUGUCGCGUCUGCUGUGAAAGMCCGGGGCUUAACUCCGGGUGUGCAGUGGGUACGGGCAGGCUAGAGUGCAGUAGGGGAGACUGGAAUUUCCUGGUGUAGCGGUGGAAUGCGCAGAUAUCAGGAGGAACACCGAUGGCGAAGGCAGGUCUCUGGGCUGUUACUGACGCUGAGGAGCGAAAGCAUGGGGAGCAAACAGGAUUAGAUACCCUGGUAGUCCAUGCCGUAAACGUUGGGCACUAGGUGUGGGGGACAUUCCACGUUUUCCGCGCCGUAGCUAACGCAUUAAGUGCCCCGCCUGGGGAGUACGGCCGCAAGGCUAAAACUCAAAGGAAUUGACGGGGGCCCGCACAAGCGGCGGAGCAUGCGGAUUAAUUCGAUGCAACGCGAAGAACCUUACCAAGGCUUGACAUGGACCGGAUCGGCGCAGAGAUGUGUUUUCCUUUCGGGGCUGGUUCACAGGUGGUGCAUGGUUGUCGUCAGCUCGUGUCGUGAGAUGUUGGGUUAAGUCCCGCAACGAGCGCAACCCUCGUUCUAUGUUGCCAGCACGUUAUGGUGGGGACUCAUGGGAGACUGCCGGGGUCAACUCGGAGGAAGGUGGGGAUGACGUCAAAUCAUCAUGCCCCUUAUGUCUUGGGCUUCACGCAUGCUACAAUGGCCGGUACAAUGGGUUGCGAUACUGUGAGGUGGAGCUAAUCCCAAAAAGCCGGUCUCAGUUCGGAUUGGGGUCUGCAACUCGACCCCAUGAAGUCGGAGUCGCUAGUAAUCGCAGAUCAGCAACGCUGCGGUGAAUACGUUCCCGGGCCUUGUACACACCGCCCRWCAAGUCACGAAAGUUGGUAACACCCGAAGCCGGUGGCCUAACCCUUKUGGGGGGAGCCKUSGAARRGKGRAAA